GCCCUGGUGGUGAAAUGGUUAUCACGAAAGUUUGUGGAACUUUAGUUUUUGGUUCAAUUCCAAGCCAGGGUACCA
RNAcentral lists this transfer RNA (75 nucleotides) under Pelagibacteraceae bacterium GOM-A3. RNAcentral's name for it is "tRNA-His". It matches the Rfam family "tRNA". From Rfam's summary of the family: Transfer RNA (tRNA) molecules are approximately 80 nucleotides in length. Their secondary structure includes four short double-helical elements and three loops (D, anti-codon, and T loops). Further hydrogen bonds mediate the characteristic L-shaped molecular structure. tRNAs have two regions of fundamental functional importance: the anti-codon, which is responsible for specific mRNA codon recognition, and the 3' end, to which the tRNAs corresponding amino acid is attached (by aminoacyl-tRNA synthetases). tRNAs cope with the degeneracy of the genetic code in two manners: having more than one tRNA (with a specific anti-codon) for a particular amino acid; and 'wobble' base-pairing, i.e. permitting non-standard base-pairing at the 3rd anti-codon position. Lineage: Bacteria; Pseudomonadati; Pseudomonadota; Alphaproteobacteria; Candidatus Pelagibacterales; Candidatus Pelagibacteraceae. RNAcentral also lists the same sequence under 4 other names. The record is from RNAcentral.